Molecule: long non-coding RNA, 384 nt
Filed under: Trifolium pratense (red clover)
Lineage: Eukaryota; Viridiplantae; Streptophyta; Magnoliopsida; Fabales; Fabaceae
Description: long non-coding RNA (TPRA_LNC005131)
Source: RNAcentral
ACAAAAUUAUGCUGAAUAAGAUGCAAAUAAGUCAGAUGAACAAUAAACGCAUCAAAUAAAAUUACUGUGUAGCUGAUGUCAUUGAGUUGGAUACAACAAUGGAACCUCCUUGAAAUUUCUUAGAUUGCAACAGUGUGGAAGGUAUGGUAUGUUGCGUAUAUGCAGAGAAUAAUCAAUUUUCCUUUUCCUCGAGCAUCAAUUUUUUUAAUUCUCUGGAACACUUUAUCCUUAGAUUUGCAAAUUUGGUGAAAAACGAAAGUGGGGGAGUAAGAAUGGUGAGCACCCAAUCUCCAUGGAAGCUUCAACCAAAACAACAGUGAGAACACAGUUGAAAAAUUAGAGAUUUUGGCAACCUAAAAACUGAAUUAAAGGGAAGAAAAGANN